RNAcentral lists this ribosomal RNA (245 nucleotides) under uncultured bacterium. RNAcentral describes it as "partial 16S ribosomal RNA". It matches the Rfam family "Bacterial small subunit ribosomal RNA", at positions 796 to 1041 of the family's 1533-position model. The record is from RNAcentral.
CACGCCGUAAACGAUGGAUACUAGCUGUUCGGAGCAAUCUGAGUGGCUAAGCGAAAGUGAUAAGUAUCCCACCUGGGGAGUACGCACGCAAGUGUGAAACUCAAAGGAAUAGACGGGGACCCGCACAAGCGGUGGAGCAUGUGGUUUAAUUCGACGAUACACGAAGAACCUUACCUGGACUUGACAUAGUAAGAACUUUCUAGAGAUAGAUUGGUGUCUGCUUGCAGAAACUUAUAUACAGGUGC